This 389-nucleotide ribosomal RNA is filed under the name Pycnococcaceae sp. Its description in RNAcentral is "partial small subunit ribosomal RNA". It matches the Rfam family "Eukaryotic small subunit ribosomal RNA", at positions 582 to 975 of the family's 1831-position model. The record is from RNAcentral. Lineage: Eukaryota; Viridiplantae; Chlorophyta; Pseudoscourfieldiophyceae; Pseudoscourfieldiales; Pycnococcaceae.
AUUCCAGCUCCAAUAGCGUGUAUUUAAGUUGUUGCGGUUAAAAAGCUCGUAGUUGGGUUUCGGGCGUGGAGGUUCGGUCCGCCGUUUCGGUGUGCACUGUCUUUCUGCGUCUUUCUGUCGGGGACGCGCUUCUGGCCUUAAUUGGCUGGGACGUGGAUUCGACGAGGUUACUUUGAAAAAAUUAGAGUGUUCAAAGCAAGCUAAAGCUCUGAAUACAUUAGCAUGGAAUAACGCGAGAGGACUCGGUCCUUAUUUUGUUGGUCUUCAAGGAUGGAGUAAUGAUUAAGAGGGACAGUUGGGGGCAUUCGUAUUUCAUUGCUAGAGGUGAAAUUCUUGGAUUUAUGAAAGACGAACUUCUGCGAAAGCAUUUGCCAAGGAUGUUUUCAUCA